AGAGGGCAGGGAUGGAUGGGGUCUAGGGAAGGAAUUCCUGGCUGGGAGAGUGGACAGGUCCUGGCACAGGGUGCCCAGAGAAGCUGCCUCCUCUCACCAGGACGUGGGUAAGCUGGGAGAGCACAGGAGGUCCUGCAUGUCCCUGGGCUUGACAGAGAUGGAUGAGCAGAGAAACAAUGAAGGUAAAAGUUCUCCAGCCUUGACCAGGAUGUGAACGUGUGUUUGUUGGGUGAGUGUAUCGAGAUUAUUGUAAGAAAAGAGACGUGGGGUUUCCACAGAGACACUGGAUGAUUGUCAUGCCAAGGGCAGACACAGCAGAGAGGAUGACAGGGCAGGGGGUGCAAGUUUACACCAGUGGCUCCUGUCAAGCACUUCACUGGGUUUCGGUGCUGGAAUUGGGAGAAGUGGAAUUGAAGUGGAGCUUAAAAAACAGACAGAACUCAAGCAAAAAGGACAAGUUUUGUGUGCAACUGGGUUUAAUAGUUUCUUCAGUCCUAAAAUUGUUUUCUCACGGUAUGUUUCAAACCUAGAAAAAUGAUAACAUAGGAUGGUUUCAAAGCCUAAACAAAUCUCAUUGAAUGCUGUUUUUCAUUAAUGAUUUCUGGGCACUCCAGAAAACAUUUCUAGACUUGCCUUGUUCACAAUAGCUCCUUUGAUGGCCAGAAUUGAAUAUGCGAGGGAUAAAUAUGUGUAUUUUUAAGCCAAGUAUUUUGCUCAGUAACAUGAUGAAAAAGUGCAAAAAGAUUUAAAAAUGAAUACUUUGUUUAAGUCUUGCAAGAACUCCAAGAUUUUCAAGUACACAGACUUCUCCUUCCAGUUUUUUAGGAACAGUAAAUUUUUGGUAGCAUCCCUCUGUUACCCUGCAAUUUCACAUCCAUUUCCAUGUCUGUUGUGUUGUUAGUCUGCCUCCUGCUUUGUGGUUUAUUUGGGGGGUAAACUGUCUUUUUUUAUUGUUUUUGUUGCCUUUUGUGAGCGUGCCAGAGGCCCUAGGGUGCCAAUAAAUGAGAAUAUUAGUGCUCCCUUUGACUGCUGUUUCCCUCUGCUUGUUUGUGACCUAAUCCUGAAUCUCCGCCCAGCCUGCUGAGCUGAAUUUUCUGAUCAGGUAAGGAGGAGCAGUGGGUCAAGAGACACUCUGACCAAAUACUGACAGAAGUGUCCCCUCUGUGCAGUUAUGAAGGUUAUGUGUCAUUGCUGGGUCACUGGAGGCACUGAAUGUUUCUUUCCUACAGGUUAUUUUUCACACCAGUACCUACUUACUUCAUCUCUGGUUAUACUUUGCUGGCGUUGAUCCGGAGCAGAACACACACAGCAAAAUAAGGAAAAGAAACGCCACCAACGCAGCAAGGCCGACCCAAAAGGCAAUGACGAUGGAGUCUGUGGGCACAGCAGGGUAAUUCUGUCCACGUGCAUUCUGCAUGCAGAAAUAAAACACAGCAAGGGGCUUUAUCAUCUCUAGUAAAGCAUGCUAGAAACCUUAUUCUGCUCUGACUGCUCAAGGACACUUGGCAGCAUCUACAGGUGCACCUCAAGGAACCUCGACUACGAGAGAGAUUUGUUCUGUUUGAGUAUUGGCUCCAUGGACAGGUAAAUACAGAAUGUUUGUGGGUCAGCCUGCCAGCUCCAUUUCACUCACCAGGCAUCACACUGAGGGUGCUCCUGUCAUAUCUCUGGGAAGUCUCGAGGCAGCUUUUCCUGCUGCUCUGUCCCAGAGUGGUUUUCCGUAUUGCUGCUGUUGGCAUCAGAGUGCUCAGUUGUGAGGAACAUCACCUGUGUAAGGCAAAUGCUAGAAAAAAAAAAAACCAAACAGCCAGGUCUGCCUUUUGUAUGAGAAAUUGUGUUCUUGAUCAAGUUACUAUUCUUUAGAUAAUUCAUUUUUAGUUUAUCAAGGGAGAGAGGAGUUUCUCUUGUGUUAUAGAUCUCUAGGAAACACAGUUGUAACUUCUUGUGUUUCUAUGUCACACAUGGUACUGUCUGGAGAAAAUUUGCUAUUGUGGCACUUUCCCUUCCAUGUCGCAGUGCUCUCACCAGUCUGAGUGGACUGAAGCUGCUUACAGGGUUUCUUUUUAAGGAUGCUUUGCUAAGGACUAAAACAAUAACAGUUCUUUAUUUUUGGGAUAA
Molecule: non-coding RNA, 2118 nt
Organism: Taeniopygia guttata (zebra finch)
Lineage: Eukaryota; Metazoa; Chordata; Aves; Passeriformes; Estrildidae
Source: RefSeq, a predicted model, not a curated record